Molecule: unclassified non-coding RNA, 3401 nt
Filed under: Exaiptasia diaphana
Lineage: Eukaryota; Metazoa; Cnidaria; Anthozoa; Actiniaria; Aiptasiidae
Description: uncharacterized LOC110250197, transcript variant X3
Source: RNAcentral
UUCGUGAUAUGUUGUUUAACAAGUUCAAUCGAACAUUUUUGAUCAUCACUUCUGCUAGAAUCCACCCAAAUGUCGCACAACGACGUGAGGCGGCAAGCAGACGAUGCGUCAAAUAAGGAUGAUGAGCUUCAGCUGGAGUUGGAACCCAUUCCGAUGUGGCUGCGGAUCGCAAUGGCAAUCGUCUGCACAUUAAACAUGGCUGCCAUUGCAUACAUCGCUGUUCUGAUCGGAAUACAGAAAGGCUGGAAAUAUUCAAUCCACUGCUUCUUUCUCUGUCUUUUUGCUUUUUUAUUCCUAAUACAAUUAAUAAGAGCACAGUCAAAAUUCCACGCAAAAGCAGCCAGCUCCUCGAGCUAUUUUAUGUUCUUUAUCACUUUAAGCACAAGCUUCACUUUGCUUAUAAGACAGGCCUACUAUCAUCCGUCGUCUGGUUACUUUGGACCUGAAUGGGUAUUGUUCUCUCUUCAAGCAGGCAUCAUCCCUGGACUCGUUGGCAUGGUUGUGAUGUUUGAAUUCAGUCUUCAAGAAAUCUAUAAAAGCCGGUUUAUCAUCAUGGUCGCGGUUCUCGACUUUGCGGAUAUUUGGGACAUGGCAUCUAUGCUCUCACCAGUAAGGGCACCUUACAUUGAAGAACAAAGCCCCAUUGAAAUUGCAAUCCAGUACUUUUGCAGCACUACAUUCCUCUCUCUUUCGGCUUUUCUCAACAAAGUCAUCAUUGAAGAAUAUUUGAAAAUAUUUAUGGGUCAAAGCGAUGUUUCGCAGGAAGGCCAAAGCGAACUCCACCGCGCAAAGGACAAAUGUUGCACAGCAUAUGUGAAGAUGAAUUCUCGAAUAUAUCAGGAUAUACCAUUCCUGAUCAUUCGUAUAUUUGUCCUGUUGGAAUAUGGUUUUGUAGAUGUCGAUUUUUUGUUUAAGAAUGCAAUUUCUGCCAUCAUCGUUCUCUUUGAUUGCUGUAAAGGUUGCUGCUUUUGCUGUUGCUUAUGUUGUGCAAUGUCUGCGUCGGGAACAAAUACAGCCGAUCAGUAGUAAAUUUCCUUAAUUGUUUUCUAGCCAUACACAUGUAGAAUAGUUUUUAUAUAAAACGUCAAUGCACUAAAUUGACAUUGUACUUAUCUCUUGUAUUACGCAUAUAAAUAUAAUAUAUAUAUUAUUUUACAAUUUAGUAAAUAGUACUCUAUCCUCGAAACAUUUUGUAAGAAAUUGUACUAGAUUGAGCUAAUUAAACGAUAGAAGACAAAGGCUUUCCCACUAAUUUGUCAAAUUUAGUUUGCAAACUAUAUAUUAGAUAUAAUGAGAGCACUUUAUUUUCGUUUUGUACUGAUUUAGCGCGUUCCCUCUAGCUUUGAUUCAUAGUUCCAUCAUCGGUUGGUUAAACAAACAUUGUAUCUUUCCACUCUAGAUUUUAUGAUAAUAAUAAUUGAUAAUAAAAAAUGAACUUAUUUAAUAUUGACCCGCCUAGCUUUUGCUGAGGUUAAUGAUUCGAUUUCUUCAUAAUGAAGAAGUCUCAGAGAAAUAACAUGAAACUAUGUUUAUAAGAAUUAAUNGUAUAAUGCCAUCAGUCGAGCGCAACGUUGCUUCAAUUUCUGGGAACAGACGGAACUUUGAGAAGUCUAAGUCCAUCAAACGAUUGUGAUAUGAAUGAUCAGACAUGAAUUUCUGUAGGUGCCUCGCGAUUUGGAUUCGUGGUUCUAUCUGAAUUACAUUUUGUGCGUAGGAAAGCUNCCCAAAGAUAGAUAAGGAAAGAUGAUUCUGGAACUUUGAGAUAAAACUCUGCAUGAUUUACUCAAUCGAGCGAAACGUAGCAUUUCCAUAAAAACAUAAACAAUUGUGCUAUUUUGAGAUCAGAUAUGAAUUGCCGUAGGUGCUUCGCGAUUAGGAUUGCUGGAAGUAUCAUUUGCUUUCUUAACUUUAUUUAUUGCGUAACCUUAUCGGUGAUUGUAGUGGUGGCAAACAAUGAUGUUGGCGCUGCGUUCGCUAUUCUUUCCGGUCUUUGGAAUUUUGUUUGUGCGCUGGCGAGUCUUUGUGGAAGCGAUAAAGGAUGUUUGUUGUCCUGCUCGAGUGUCAUGGUUUUGCUGGCUUCCACUUUCACUCUCGUCACACGGUAUCACUACUACGAGGUUAUGCCGAAAUAUUCUGGGCUAUUGGCUGAAGUAUUCUCAGGCUUCAUACUUCACAAAGCUGGCCUCGUUUUGUUAGUGUCUGGAAUUCCAGUAAUGUACGGAUGUCUAUGCCAAUCAAUGAUGACAGAUAAAAAGAUGGUUUACAGGGUAAUCGUCGACUUUAUUGAUAUCUACGAGAUGUCAGAGCUGCUUACCAUGGGCGCCAAAAGUUGUACUCUUGCAGGCCCCACACAUGCACCAUUUCCUUACAUUAAUCAUACCAGGAAUGUCUUCAACUGCACCGAAUCGACGUUCUCUUUAUUGACGAAAGAAAGCAACAUGGAAGUGAUCAUUCAAGUUUUGUGCUCAUUUUCCUUCUUGAUUUUNUUUCUUAUUUAUCGCGAAGCGUUGGGAAGAGUCUCGUCAAGGGUACACGAUAACGCUGCUUUUAAAAGAUACGUAAAUAUCACAAGACUCAUCCAAGACAUCCCGUUCUUCAUUAUCCGUGCUGUGGUCUUGAUUUUGUACAAGCUUGAGAACCAGACCAUAUUUUUGGUGAAAAACUUUGCGUCGAUUGGCCUUGUCUCUCUCGCGCUCGCAGGUUUUAAAGAUAGCACUGAAAACAAUGGGCAAUCAUCCAAUAGAAGACAGCCAAGUGGACAGACAAAUCGUGGAUAUGGCAACAAUCCAUAGCACCAUCCAGAAACUGACAUCCAGAGUCUGAAACUGACAUCCAUAAGUCCCUUGGAUAGAUAAUACACUGACAAGUCAUUCACGAUAGCCACCAUGAACAACUUUGAAAUUAUAGUCCAAUUACGCCUUGUAGCCGUCUAGAGAACAAGUUGUUGUCUUUUUCUCCUGGGACACAAUAUUGAAUUUCACCACAAUCUCAGAUUUCAAGUAUGUGUGUUUUUUUUUUAAAUUUUUAUCGACAACAACGCAUGACCCAUCGCCAGUGCACUUGCAUGAGAUAAAAACACCUUGCACAUAAAUUAAANUAGAAAGCAUUAUAUUCUGAGAUUCCCAAAGUAUCAACAUGAUAUUUUCUCGCCGUAUAUCUAUCUUCGUUGACUAGCUUGUUUUUACUCAACAAAUUUGGAAGGAUACUUAAAUGUAACCUUUUCACAAUGAUUAAAUGCAUAAUAUUCCAUAUAUAUUGUUUCUAUACUUUCAUCAAUAAUAUCACUUUCUGGGUGUUGGAGUUCUAGAAGUUCGUCAUAAAACUCGAGAGUGCAUGUUCUAUCGGGCAUAUACAAUGGCAACAUAUGAAAUGUGAAAUAAAGUAUAUGUUCUCUUUAUGAA